This 591-nucleotide ribosomal RNA is filed under the name Globigerinoides ruber albus. Its description in RNAcentral is "partial small subunit ribosomal RNA". It matches the Rfam family "Eukaryotic small subunit ribosomal RNA", at positions 1293 to 1605 of the family's 1831-position model. Lineage: Eukaryota; Foraminifera; Rotaliida; Globigerinidae. The record is from RNAcentral.
CUUAGUUCGUGGAGUGAUCUGUCUGCUUAAUUGCGUUUCAAAAUUUAACUUGAGGACCGGGUUUUGGUUUGGCUAGUGGUUCUACGAUGACUGUGAACUGUCAUGUCUUCGGAUGUGCGACUAUUGGUCUAGGAUCACAUGACUUGCCCCUGGGACUCUUUUGAACGCAACGGACGUGAUUGCAACCCCUUGUUGAGAUUAGAGAUAGUCUCGAUAUUCACUGGACAAACUGGCUGCUUUAUGCAGUCUUGUUGAAUGGUGGAUAAACUCGGGGGACUGCUGACUAUAACCAUUUCUCAAAACAGAGGAAGGUUGCGGCAAUAACAGGUCUGUGAUGCCCUCAGAUGUCCCGGGCUGCACACGUGCUACAAUGAGUGGCGCAAUGUGCUAAUGUUUAAGGGAUAAGAGUGUGGUCAGUAGAACGUCGGGAUUUCCCCUGACGUCUCCCCCGCACGAUUAUCAGCCUUCCCUUAACAGGGCGGGCAACCUUUUCAAAAUACUGGUUUGAUGUUAAAGUAUUGAGUCGUUUUUUUUGGAUGGUGGUUUGUUAACCAAUACCAUCCGGCAACUGCUCGCGAGUUUGUGGUUCUG